This is a long non-coding RNA of Anguilla rostrata (American eel), 1894 nucleotides long. RefSeq lists it as uncharacterized. The record is from RefSeq and is a predicted model, not a curated record. The transcript has 4 exons. Lineage: Eukaryota; Metazoa; Chordata; Actinopteri; Anguilliformes; Anguillidae.
CAAAAGUGUUGUCUUCAGUUAUCCUACUGAAACUAACGAGUGUCAGGGAAAUGCAGUUUUUUUGCGGUCAGAAAAAGGUUUGACCUCACAAGGAGGAAAUGGAGGAGUUGUGGGACGAGUUGGAUUGAGAACGAACCUGCAACUUGGAUGACGUGUAAUGAUGCAUUUAUACAAACGAUGAUUUCGUUAGGGCUAAAUUGGCCAUAGUUCUCUGUGGAACUGAGAUUUUUCUUUAGCCUGCGUUUAGUUUAGAAUGUGCUUUUAUUUUUUUACGGUAUGGGAAUCAUUGUUAUCCACGUAGUGCUUCCGCCACAACAAAGCCCUGUUUCUGGUCAGUUUCUGUCUGGAGAUGACAUUAUUUAUGAGAAAACUGCAAACUGAGAGAGGCCAAUUGUAGCCUAUCAAUAGCCCACUCACGUUGAACAACAGAAACUAUAAACGACUGUUUUUUGCGGUCCCUCCGCCUUCCCCCCGUUAUUUCUUCUUUAAAAAAAAACUCUGCUUGUGCCUAUAUGACUGCAUCCAUUUUAUGUCGUCUUGGGAGCUAAACCAGCGCCUCUUGAGUGACGUGAGGACAGGGCUGGCGUGGAGCGGCCAGCUUCCUGUGGCUGGGGACAAGCUUUCUCCGGAUGGCUCGUAGCAACCUGCAACACAAGCCCGGCGAGCAGCAAUGCACUGAUGAUUAAUGUUGGGCAGGUUGGUAUUUCCAGAAGCAAUUCGGGUUCAGGUGGACUGCAUGGUGUCCUCGAAACGUAUCCAGACGCAGCGAACGGCGCCGAGCGUCAUCCUGGACUCCUGCUGCACAGCAGCCCCAGUGAGAAGCUUCCAGAAACAGAGGUGCACAGCCACCAAGCCGUCCCCUUCCCCAGGGCUGUGUUCAAGUGGCGUUUCAUAACCUGGAACGGCGUUGCGCUGAACAUUCAACUCUGUUACUUAUUCUGCUAAUAGAGCCGCUCUGUGCGGGUAUAUCAGCAGUAUAAGAAUCAUGGAUGUGUCAAAUACUGUAUGUAAAUAUGUGACUUUACUGUAUGUAAAUAUGUAAAUAUGUGACUUGUGGGUACGCCUCUGGCACACCCACAGAACGGAGGCAAACAUAUCUUAGGGACUGUUACGAAGUGUUCCCAACCGGGUGCAAAUCAGUUAUGUUUUGCCCCCUGUUCCGUUUUGAACACAGCCCAAAGACAGCGACUCGUCCUUCUCCCUGGGCAAUGUAGUGUCUGGGACGAGUGGGAAUGAACCUACUCACACGAAGAACUGCUCAUGAACGGGAAGUCUUUUUUUAGGCCGGGGACGCUCAAUGCCUCUGCUCUAGUUGAUUCACUGCUCCAGAAUUUGGCUUAGGCAACUGCUAAGAUUGGCUGGUGACCUAACUUUACGUUGAAAACUUGGCAACACUUGUAAAAAAAAAAAAAAAAAUGUAAAAAAACUGGUAACAUAUGCAAUCACAAAUGAAGCACCAUGACAGGCUAUUCAUGGUCUAUUUUCCCCUGUGCUUGUUUGAAUUUUAAGGACAGUUGGAGUCAGCAGAAGAACAUAUUCUUAGCUGACAAAGUGAGAGAUAGGGUGUAUUUACAUUACGGGGUGCAGGCACACCCAGAGGCGUCUGGGAGGUACGCGAGGCCUUGUCCUGAUGCACUACAUACAGCAGCUACUGGACGGGCCCAGAGUCGGGUGUUGUGUCUGGAGUAUCCUACUGGACGGGCCCCAGAGUGGGGUGUUGUAUCUGGAGUAUCCGACUGGACGGGCCCCAGAGUGGGGUGUUGUAUCUGGAGCAGCUACUGGACAGGCCCCAGAGAUGGGUGUUGUAUCUGGAGUAUCCUACUGGACGGGCCCCAGAGUGGGGUGUUGUAUCUGGAGUAUCUGACUGGACGGGCCCCAGAGUGGGGUGUUGUAU